GACGAACGCUGGCGGCGUGCUUAACACAUGCAAGUCGAACGAGGUGCUUCGGCAUCGAGUGGCGAACGGGUGAGUAACACGUGAGCAACCUGCCCCUGGCUCUGGGAUAGCCUCCGGAAACGGUGAUUAAUACCGGACAUGACCUUCACCUGCAUGGGUGGGGGUGGAAAGUUUUUCGGCCAGGGAUGGGCUCGCGGCCUAUCAGCUUGUUGGGGGGGUAACGGCCCACCAAGGCGACGACGGGUAGCCGGCCUGAGAGGGCGACCGGCCACACUGGGACUGAGACACGGCCCAGACUCCUACGGGAGGCAGCAGUGGGGAAUAUUGCGCAAUGGGGGGAACCCUGACGCAGCGACGCCGCGUGCGGGAUGAAGGCCUUCGGGUUGUAAACCGCUUUCACCAGGGACGAAGCGGGAGUGACGGUACCUGGGGAAGAAGCGCCGGCUAACUACGUGCCAGCCGCCG
RNAcentral lists this ribosomal RNA (465 nucleotides) under uncultured bacterium. Its description in RNAcentral is "bacterial SSU rRNA". It matches the Rfam family "Bacterial small subunit ribosomal RNA", at positions 28 to 517 of the family's 1533-position model. The record is from RNAcentral.